UACGAGGGGGGCAAAUGUUGUUCGGAAUCACUGGGCGUAAAGGGUGCGUAGGCGGGUCUUUAAGUCAGGGGUGAAAUCCUGGAGCUCAACUCCAGAACUGCCUUUGAUACUGAAGAUCUUGAGUUCGGGAGAGGUGAGUGGAACUGCGAGUGUAGAGGUGAAAUUCGUAGAUAUUCGCAAGAACACCAGUGGCGAAGGCGGCUCACUGGCCCGGUACUGACGCUGAGGCACGAAAGCGUGGGGAGCAAACAGG
RNAcentral lists this ribosomal RNA (253 nucleotides) under uncultured bacterium. RNAcentral describes it as "partial 16S ribosomal RNA". It matches the Rfam family "Bacterial small subunit ribosomal RNA", at positions 524 to 776 of the family's 1533-position model. The record is from RNAcentral.